This 265-nucleotide ribosomal RNA is filed under the name uncultured bacterium. RNAcentral's name for it is "partial 16S ribosomal RNA". It matches the Rfam family "Bacterial small subunit ribosomal RNA", at positions 90 to 354 of the family's 1533-position model. The record is from RNAcentral.
ACUGAGCGGCGGACGGGUGAGUAACGCGUGGGUAACCUGCCUCAUACAGGGGGAUAAACAGUUAGAAAUGACUGCUAAUACCGCAUAAGACCACAGGGCCGCAUGGCCCGGUGGUAAAAACUCCGGUGGUAUGAGAUGGACCCGCGUCUGAUUAGCUGGUUGGUGGGGUAACGGCCUACCAAGGCAACGAUCAGUAGCCGACCUGAGAGGGUGACCGGCCACAUUGGGACUGAGACACGGCCCAAACUCCUACGGGAGGCAGCAG